CAACAGGGAUUGCCUUAGUAACGGCGAGUGAAGCGGCAACAGCUCAAAUUUGAAAUCUGGCCCCUUCGGGGUCCGAGUUGUAAUUUGCAGAGAGUGUUUCGGGUGAGACCACGGUCUAAGUUCAUUGGAACAUGGCGUCAUAGAGGGUGAGAAUCCCGUAUGUGACUGUGGCUUGAGCCCAUGUGAAGCCUCUUCGACGAGUCGAGUUGUUUGGGAAUGCAGCUCAAAAUGGGUGGUAAAUUUCAUCUAAAGCUAAAUACUGGCUGGAGACCGAUAGCGCACAAGUAGAGUGAUCGAAAGAUGAAAAGCACUUUGGAAAGAGAGUCAAACAGUACGUGAAAUUGUUGAAAGGGAAGCGCUUGCAACCAGACCUGUCCGUAGGUGAUCAGCCGCUGUUCUCAGCGGUGCACUCGCUCUGCGAUCAGGCCAGCAUCGGUUUCGGCGGUUGGAUAAAGGCCUUGGGAAUGUAGCUCCCUUCGGGGAGUCUUAUAGCCCUCGGUGCAAUGCGGCCAGCCGGGACCGAGGACCGCGCUUCGGCUAGGAUGCUGGCGUAAUGGUUGUAAGCGACCCGUCUUGAAACACGGACCAAGGAGUCUAACAUCUAUGCGAGUGUUUGGGUGUUAAACCCAUGCGCGGAAUGAAAGUGAACGGAGGUGAGAACCCUUUAGGGCGCAUCAUCGACCGAUCCAGAUGUCUUCGGAUGGAUUUGAGUAUGAGCAUAGCUGUUGGGACCCGAAAGAUGGUGAACUAUGCCUGAAUAGGGUGAAGCCAGAGGAAACUCUGGUGGAGGCUCGCAGCGGUUCUGACGUGCAAAUCGAUCGUCAAAUUUGGGUAUAGGGGCGAAAGACUAAUC
This 853-nucleotide ribosomal RNA is filed under the name Neuropogon sphacelatus. RNAcentral's name for it is "partial 28S ribosomal RNA". It matches the Rfam family "Eukaryotic large subunit ribosomal RNA", at positions 66 to 936 of the family's 3401-position model. Lineage: Eukaryota; Fungi; Ascomycota; Lecanoromycetes; Lecanorales; Parmeliaceae. The record is from RNAcentral.